GGAAACACAUAUGUUUGGAAGGUUGACAAGCCUCUGGAAGAUCCUACUAUUUUGAAAACUCACGAUGGUGAACUUACAGCAGUUAACUGGUGUAGCUCCGAAUUUGGCAAAUUCGCAACUUGUUCUGAUGACUUUACAGUAAGCGAAUCCAACUGUUUUCUUAUUAAUUUAACUUAAAAUUUAUUUGACUUUAAUCCAGACAUUGCAUUUUA
This is a non-coding RNA of Vigna umbellata (rice bean), 212 nucleotides long. The record is from RefSeq and is a predicted model, not a curated record. Lineage: Eukaryota; Viridiplantae; Streptophyta; Magnoliopsida; Fabales; Fabaceae.